This 465-nucleotide ribosomal RNA is filed under the name Vreelandella stevensii. Its description in RNAcentral is "partial 16S ribosomal RNA". It matches the Rfam family "Bacterial small subunit ribosomal RNA", at positions 338 to 795 of the family's 1533-position model. The record is from RNAcentral. Lineage: Bacteria; Pseudomonadati; Pseudomonadota; Gammaproteobacteria; Oceanospirillales; Halomonadaceae.
CCUACGGGAGGCAGCAGUGGGGAAUAUUGGACAAUAGGCGAAAGCCUGAUCCAGCCAUGCCGCGUGUGUGAAGAAGGCCUUCGGGUUGUAAAGCACUUUCAGUGGGGAAGAAAGCCUUGGGGCUAAUACCCUCGAGGAAGGACAUCACCCACAGAAGAAGCACCGGCUAACUCCGUGCCAGCAGCCGCGGUAAUACGGAGGGUGCGAGCGUUAAUCGGAAUUACUGGGCGUAAAGCGCGCGUAGGCGGUCUGAUAAGCCGGUUGUGAAAGCCCCGGGCUCAACCUGGGAACGGCAUCCGGAACUGUCAGGCUAGAGUGCAGGAGAGGAAGGUAGAAUUCCCGGUGUAGCGGUGAAAUGCGUAGAGAUCGGGAGGAAUACCAGUGGCGAAGGCGGCCUUCUGGACUGACACUGACGCUGAGGUGCGAAAGCGUGGGUAGCAAACAGGAUUAGAUACCCUAGUAGUC